UUCCUGGAAGUCUAGUGGUUAGGACUCUGUGCUUCCACUGCAGGGGGCACGAGUUUGAUCCCUGUUCGGGGAA
Molecule: transfer RNA, 73 nt
Filed under: Bos taurus (domestic cattle)
Lineage: Eukaryota; Metazoa; Chordata; Mammalia; Artiodactyla; Bovidae
Also listed under: 5 other names
Rfam family: tRNA
About the family: Transfer RNA (tRNA) molecules are approximately 80 nucleotides in length. Their secondary structure includes four short double-helical elements and three loops (D, anti-codon, and T loops). Further hydrogen bonds mediate the characteristic L-shaped molecular structure. tRNAs have two regions of fundamental functional importance: the anti-codon, which is responsible for specific mRNA codon recognition, and the 3' end, to which the tRNAs corresponding amino acid is attached (by aminoacyl-tRNA synthetases). tRNAs cope with the degeneracy of the genetic code in two manners: having more than one tRNA (with a specific anti-codon) for a particular amino acid; and 'wobble' base-pairing, i.e. permitting non-standard base-pairing at the 3rd anti-codon position.
Source: Rfam by way of RNAcentral